This 481-nucleotide ribosomal RNA is filed under the name uncultured bacterium. RNAcentral's name for it is "partial 16S ribosomal RNA". It matches the Rfam family "Bacterial small subunit ribosomal RNA", at positions 28 to 507 of the family's 1533-position model. The record is from RNAcentral.
GAUGAACGCUGGCGGCGUGCUUAACACAUGCAAGUCGAACGAAGCACUUUAUUUGAUUUCCUUCGGGACUGAUUAUUUUGUGACUGAGUGGCGGACGGGUGAGUAACGCGUGGGUAACCUGCCUUGUACAGGGGGAUAACAGUUGGAAACGGCUGCUAAUACCGCAUAAGCGCACGGCAUCGCAUGAUGCAGUGUGAAAAACUCCGGUGGUAUAAGAUGGACCCGCGUUGGAUUAGCUAGUUGGUGAGGUAACGGCCCACCAAGGCGACGAUCCAUAGCCGACCUGGGAGGGUGACCGGCCACAUUGGGACUGAGACACGGCCCAAACUCCUACGGGAGGCAGCAGUGGGGAAUAUUGCACAAUGGGCGAAAGCCUGAUGCAGCGACGCCGCGUGAGCGAAGAAGUAUUUCGGUAUGUAAAGCUCUAUCAGCAGGGAAGAUAAUGACGGUACCUGACGAAGAAGCACCGGCUAAAUACGUG